ACCUCAAUAGCUCAGCUGGUAGAGCAGGCCCUUCGUAAGGACAAGGUCGGGGUUCGAGUCCCUCUUGAGGCA
RNAcentral lists this transfer RNA (72 nucleotides) under Roseovarius aestuarii. It matches the Rfam family "tRNA". From Rfam's summary of the family: Transfer RNA (tRNA) molecules are approximately 80 nucleotides in length. Their secondary structure includes four short double-helical elements and three loops (D, anti-codon, and T loops). Further hydrogen bonds mediate the characteristic L-shaped molecular structure. tRNAs have two regions of fundamental functional importance: the anti-codon, which is responsible for specific mRNA codon recognition, and the 3' end, to which the tRNAs corresponding amino acid is attached (by aminoacyl-tRNA synthetases). tRNAs cope with the degeneracy of the genetic code in two manners: having more than one tRNA (with a specific anti-codon) for a particular amino acid; and 'wobble' base-pairing, i.e. permitting non-standard base-pairing at the 3rd anti-codon position. Lineage: Bacteria; Pseudomonadati; Pseudomonadota; Alphaproteobacteria; Rhodobacterales; Roseobacteraceae. The record is from Rfam by way of RNAcentral.